AAGGGAGAGGAAUAAGUAGAAAUCUACCCUCGGAUCGGGGAUAGCGGCGGGAAACUGCCGGUAAUACCCGAUAACGUCUUUGGACCAAAGGUGUGAUUCCGUCUGAGGAUGAGUCUACUUCCUAUUAGCUAGUUGGCGGGGUAAUGGCCCACCAAGGCAACGAUGGGUAGCAGGUGUGAGAGCAUGACCUGCCUCAUUGGCACUGAGACACUGGCCAGACACCUACGGGUGGCUGCAGUCGAGAAUCUUCGGCAAUGGACGAAAGUCUGACCGAGCGACGCCGCGUGCGGGACGAAGGCCUUCGGGUUGUAAACCGCUGUCGUAGAGGAUCAAAGGUAAUUGGGUUCUCCCUUUUAUUUGAGUGAUUCUAGGAGGAAGGAGAGGCUAAGCUCGUGCCAGCAGCCGCGGUAAGACGAGCUCUCCAAACGUUAUUCGGUAUCACUGGGCUUAAAGAGUUCGUAGGCGGCUUUGUAGGUGGGGUGUGAAAGCCCUCGGCUUAACCGAGGAACUGCGCCCCAAACCACAAGGCUUGAGGGAUAUAGGGGUAAGCGGAACAGAUGGUGGAGCGGUGAAAUGCAUUGA
RNAcentral lists this ribosomal RNA (582 nucleotides) under uncultured bacterium. RNAcentral's name for it is "bacterial SSU rRNA". It matches the Rfam family "Bacterial small subunit ribosomal RNA", at positions 102 to 694 of the family's 1533-position model. The record is from RNAcentral.